UUAUCUCUCCGCGAAAAGAAAUCUUUGACGAGCCAUACCACCAAAUAGACAUGGCCAAUUUGGUUUCCCUCAUCCCAUGGCAGUCUCACUGAAAUAUGUUCCAUUAAGGAGAAGCCACUACAAUUUUUGUGUCCGUCAAUCUUUCUGAUAAUGACUGUUUCAAGGUUCAGAACUCAGAGAAAUGCAGGACGAAGAGCAAAGGGUGGGGGAGGAGUACGAGAG
This 222-nucleotide unclassified non-coding RNA is filed under the name Hevea brasiliensis (rubber tree). The record is from RNAcentral. Lineage: Eukaryota; Viridiplantae; Streptophyta; Magnoliopsida; Malpighiales; Euphorbiaceae.